Molecule: transfer RNA, 65 nt
Filed under: Cerdistus sp. LRC-2002
Lineage: Eukaryota; Metazoa; Arthropoda; Insecta; Diptera; Asilidae
Description: tRNA-Glu
Rfam family: tRNA
About the family: Transfer RNA (tRNA) molecules are approximately 80 nucleotides in length.
Source: RNAcentral
AUUUAUAUAGUUUAUAUAAAACCUUACAUUUUCACUGUAAAAAUAAAGUCAAUCUUUUAUAAAUU